AGUGCGGACGCCCGGCUCCUGGCGUGGACGCCAUGGUGCUGUGCCCGGUGAUUGGGAAGCUGCUGCACAAGCGCGUGGUGCUGGCCAGCGCCUCCCCACGCCGUCAGGAGAUCCUCAGCAACGCGGGUCUCAGGUUUGAGGUGGUCCCCUCCAAGUUUAAAGAGAAGCUGGACAAAGCCUCCUUCGCUACUCCGUAUGGGUACGCCAUGGAGACCGCCAAGCAGAAGGCCCUGGAGGUGGCCAACCGGAUGCACCAGGCAAGGGGCCCCUGCUCUUUGGCCCUUAUGAAAAUUCCUUUGCUGUGAUGAGGGGAUUUGCAGGCAGUAAAUAUACAUGAUACAAAUAAACAUCAUUCAGAAGAUGCAGUUGGUGGCACAGCUUAGCUAUUGCUAUGUUAUAAUGUAAUGCACUAUUGCGGUAACCUAAUAAUACCAUUAAUGAUACAGAAUUAAUGUAGCUUAUCUGUUACUACGUGUUAUAAUAUUCUCUUGCAAUUGAUACAGUAUCAUUGAUGAUAUAGAAUUAAUGUAGCUUAUCUAUUACUAUGUGUUAUAAUAUUCUCUUGCAAUUGAUAUAGUAUCAUUCAUGAUAGAGAAUUAAUGUAGCUUAUCUGUUACUAUGUGUUAUAAUAUUCUCUUGCAAUUGAUACAGUAUCAUUUAUGAUAUAGAAUUAAUGUAGUUAUCUAUUACUAUGCGUUGUAAUAUUCUCUUGCAAUGGAUACAGUAUCAUUUAUGAUAUACAAUUAAUGUAGUUAUCUAUUACUAUGUGUUAUAAUAUUCUCUUGCAAUUGAUUUCAUAGUAUCAUUUAUGAUAUAGAAUUAAUGUAGCUUAUCUAUUACUAUGU
RNAcentral lists this small RNA (845 nucleotides) under Pan troglodytes (chimpanzee). RNAcentral's name for it is "processed transcript". The record is from RNAcentral. Lineage: Eukaryota; Metazoa; Chordata; Mammalia; Primates; Hominidae.